GAUGAACGCUGGCGGCGUGCCUAAUACAUGCAAGUCGAGCGAACGGACGAGAAGCUUGCUUCUCUGAUGUUAGCGGCGGACGGGUGAGUAACACGUGGAUAACCUACCUAUAAGACUGGGAUAACUUCGGGAAACCGGAGCUAAUACCGGAUAAUAUUUUGAACCGCAUGGUUCAAAAGUGAAAGACGGUCUUGCUGUCACUUAUAGAUGGAUCCGCGCUGCAUUAGCUAGUUGGUAAGGUAACGGCUUACCAAGGCAACGAUGCAUAGCCGACCUGAGAGGGGGAUCGGCCACACUGGAACUGAGACACGGUCCAGACUCCUACGGGAGGCAGCAGUAGGGAAUCUUCCGCAAUGGGCGAAAGCCUGACGGAGCAACGCCGCGUGAGUGAUGAAGGUCUUCGGAUCGUAAAACUCUGUUAUUAGGGAAGAACAUAUGUGUAAGUAACUGUGCACAUCUUGACGGUACCUAAUCAGAAAACCACGGCUAACUACGU
RNAcentral lists this ribosomal RNA (496 nucleotides) under uncultured bacterium. Its description in RNAcentral is "partial 16S ribosomal RNA". It matches the Rfam family "Bacterial small subunit ribosomal RNA", at positions 28 to 506 of the family's 1533-position model. The record is from RNAcentral.